GAGAAGACUUUAGAUAUGAUCCAGAGUACCACGGGACACGUGAAACCCUGUGGGAAGCAGGAGGGACCACCCUCCAAGGCUAAAUACUACCUAGUGACCGAUAGCGUAUAGUACCGUGAGGGAAAGGUGAAAAGAACCCCGGGAGGGGAGUGAAAUAGAACCUGAAACCCUGCACUUACAAGCUGUGGAAGCACAUUUCUUGUGUGACCGCGUACUUUUUGUAGAACGGGCCAACGAGUUACGUUAAGUAGCAAG
Molecule: ribosomal RNA, 255 nt
Filed under: Clostridioides difficile
Lineage: Bacteria; Bacillati; Bacillota; Clostridia; Peptostreptococcales; Peptostreptococcaceae
Description: partial 23S ribosomal RNA
Rfam family: Bacterial large subunit ribosomal RNA
Source: RNAcentral